CGCUUUCUUGGUGGAGAGCUUUAGGGCGUCCUUUCGUGGAGGAGUUGAGGAAGGAAAGGACCCACAUCACUGUAUAAUUUCAAAAGCCUCCAUCUUUUUUCCUGUUAUAACCCGCUUAAAGAAACCCAAGCGGGCUUUGACUCUAAUUCCCUGGGAUUUUAUUCCCAAAAACCGUGUGAUUUUUGUUUCAUAAUAUUGUCUUUCUUUGACUUUGAUUUUGGGAGUUGCGUAUGUUCACACGCAUAUCUGAUCUUUUAUUUCAUCAUUACUUCCAUUGUUUUCCCCCGGCGUUUUAACACUAUUUUUCACAAUUCUUUUGGGUUCCUGGAUGAUUUUGUUUUCGGCUUAAAGAUUCUUGUUUGGGUGUUUUGGAAAAGAGAAAAGAUUCUUUUUGUUUUUGAUUCAGGGAAAAAUUGAAAAGUUUUACUUUUUGUUUGUCCUUAUUGGAUUGAAAAGAUUAAAGUGCACCAGGAGGAAUAUUUUUUUGUUUGCUGUGGAUGAUGUUGCUUUUGAGCUAUUAGGUUCUUUCUCCGAUCUGGGUUCUUAUUGGCUUCAUCGCUGUUGCAUAAUCUUCUGUCUGGGGUUGAACUCUCUGUGACCUUGAGACAGUAAUCGCUCUUAUAAUGGGUUGGCUGAGCAAAUUUUUUAAAGGCUCUGACCACAAUGUUUCAGAAGGGCAAUAUGAUUCAAAUUAUGGUGGACACAGAGAGGAUAAUCUUCCAUCUACUUCAUGGCAGGACUCCUGGUCAGAGAUUGAAGACAUAGACCGUGCUAUUGCAUUAUCCAUGUUGGAAGAGGAGCAGAAAGGGAAAAAUGUGGUGCUGGAUAGCGAAUUACAGCUAAGUGAAGAUGAACAACUUGCUAGAGCUCUUCAGGAGAGUUUGAAUGUUGAAUCCCCACCAGCAUGGCAUGGAAACAGAAAUGAUACUGGGCGUGGAAGUGGAUAUGGAAAUGGAAAUGGAAAUGGGCACUUCUAUCAACCUAUACCUUUCCCCUAUGCAACGAGUUUUAGGAUAUGUGCUGGGUGUAACGCAGAGAUUGGCCAUGGACGAUUCUUGAAUUGUAUGAGUGCUUUCUGGCAUCCAGAGUGUUUUAGGUGCCGUGCCUGCAACCAACCAAUUUCUGAUUAUGAGUUCUCUAUGUCUGGGAACUAUCCAUAUCACAAAACUUGUUACAAGGAGCUUUAUCACCCAAAAUGUGACGUAUGCAAAAACUUUAUCCCGACCAAUGCAUCAGGUCUUAUUGAAUACCGUGCACACCCUUUUUGGUCCCAGAAAUACUGCCCAUUCCAUGAGCGUGAUGGAACCCCUCGCUGCUGUAGCUGUGAGCGAAUGGAGCCACGGGAGACAAAAUAUGUUGCCCUAGAUGAUGGUCGUAAACUUUGUUUAGAGUGCCUUGACUCUUCCAUUAUGGAUACCAAUCAGUGUCAACCCCUUUAUCUUGAUAUACAAGAAUUCUAUGAAGCGCUGAAUAUGAAAGUGAAUCAGAAAGUCCCAUUGCUGUUGGUUGAGAGGCAAGCCUUGAAUGAAGCCAUGGAUGGAGAGAGACAUGGACAUCAUCACAUGCCGGAAACUAGAGGACUCUGCCUUUCUGAGGAACAAACAGUCAGCACUAUUUUGCGCCGGCCAAGAAUAGGGGCUGGAAAUCGUUUCAUAGAGAUGAGAACGGAACCCUAUAGAUUAACACGCCGCUGCGAAGUGACAGCAAUACUAAUUCUAUAUGGCCUUCCUAGGUUACUUACGGGAUCAAUCUUAGCACAUGAGAUGAUGCAUGCAUGGCUUCGACUUGGAGGUUAUCGAACUCUUAGCCAAGAUGUUGAAGAAGGCAUAUGUCAAGUGUUGGCACACAUGUGGUUGGAAUCUCAAAUUAUGUCGAUGUCGAAAGGCAGCAGUGCAUCAACAUCGUAUUCGGCCAGUUCAUCGUUAAAGAAUGGGACUAGAUCUCCUUUUGAGAGGAGACUCGGGGAGUUCUUUAAACACCAGAUAGAAUCUGACACGUCGCCAGUGUAUGGAAAUGGGUUUAGAAGCGGUAACCAGGCAGUACUUAAGUAUGGUUUGGAGAGGACAUUGGAACAUAUCCGGAUGACAGGGACCUUCCCUUUUUGAAAAGAUUUGAUUUUUAACUUAGGAACUGCUGUCUUUAUUGUUUUCCUAUAGAGUGAAGCUUUAUCCAUUCAUAUUAGCUUCCUUUAGAGUUACUAUACCUUGUAGUUCCAAGGAAGGUCUCUUCGUAGAAUUCAGAAAAAAGAAAAAAAAAUUGUUUUUCUAGCUUGUUCAUUUGAUUCUUAUAGUAAUAGUAUAUAUAUUCUCGCCUUUAUCUGUGUUGGAUCCUUUGUUUUUUGUUUUUAAUAUCAUCAUAUACGGGCAUUCGCAUAACAUAUAACUGAUACAAGAUACAUUAUGGCAGUUUGAAAUAAGCGUUUCAAAUGCUCAUUCUUGAUAUGAUUUCUGUAAGCUUGCUUGUAUUUUCAGCAGACUAGGCACUACUUCUCCCAUGGUGGGGCGAUCGGCUGGAUCUGUUGCCAAGCAUCUCAGGGCUAAUUUUGCGGUCUGAAAUGCGAGCUCUACUCCACCGUGUUGUUUGAGGUCAGCCUCGAUGAAAUUAGCGACUUCGGUUUCUGCAUUUUCUCGUCUGAAAAUGGAAACGAUGGCUGCGGAUAGUAAUGCUUCUCUACCUUCACGUGCAAAAACAGCAGGCUUCCCUGUGAGUAAUUCUAACAGCACGACUCCAAAGGCGUAUACGUCUAUCUUGGGAGUAACUGAAGCUGUGUCGAGAUACUCCCGAGCCAGUCGAGGAGAAUGUUUCUGCUGCAAAUGUUCUUGUGAACGUAGCCCGGGUCUGUGAAGCUGUGGAGAUAAUGAAGCCCAUUGGCAACAUCUAUGGCGAUUUGAAUCCUCAGACUCCACCUCUCCGUAACUUCUUUGGGUGUUUUCUUCUUCAGCCAUUCCCUGAGAGAACCGUUCUUCAUGUACUCAAAAACCAAGUAGUAGCAGCCCUGAUGAACAGAGAAUCCAUGGAGCUUUACCAGGUUGAAAUGAUUGAUUUUGUUGAGCAUAUUAACCUCCUCUGAUGCAUCUGUGCUCAUCUUCUUGAUCACCACAUCAUCUCUCCCUUUAAACACGCCCCGAUACACUGAAGAUCCCUUGAUUCUGUUCCUGGAACCGAAAUCUCCAGCAGCCUUUUUCAAGUCCUUGAACCUGAAAACUUCAAGGCUUCGAUCAAUGCCCGCAAUCUCAACCAAGAUAUCCUCUACUGGCUCUGCAGAAUUUCCCUUUUUCUUCUUCUUCCUUAUGAAUGGAUACAUGACACAAAUAACCAUAACUGAGAUCACCACAGAAACCCCCACUGCAACUCCACUACCUAUAUAUACACCUCUCUUUGACCUUCUUCUUGAAACACCAGAUUCAGGCUGAGGAGAGAUGGGAGUUUUGCUGUUUCGAGAUAUGAUUGAAGGGUUGCCGCCAGAUAAAGGAACAAGAACGGUAGUAAAAGGAAACAGAGUUGAAUCUUCUCCAGAAACACCAUUUCCUGCAACUAUUUCCACUGUGCUUACAUUGAAUUUUUCAGCAAUUCCAGUGAUAUUAUCUCCCCAGUCAAUGGAGUAAGUCAGCAGAUACUUGGUCCCGUUCAAAAUCUGAUCUUUAGUUGGACAGGCGCAACGAAGAGGAAUCUGCAGCUCCAAACCAGGUUUCAGACUGAAUUCAUCGUAUACAUUUUCUGCUUCAAGGGACUGGCAAGUCGACAGGCCUUGGUAAGUAGUAUUCGCUAUGGAAAAGUAUGUUUGGUCGGGGGAUGGGAUCUGGUACGAGGUUUUUGCUGCGUAGUACUGACCCGAACAGGAACACUUCACCGGAACGACAACCUCCUUGUCUUCCGGGAAAGCUGUCAGCUUUGAGGCGGCGUUGUUCAGUCGUGCUAUUUCUGAGGCGUUGGAUGACAGGAGAGCUGCAAUGGCGGGGACAGUGUUGAACGGAAACCUUGCCCGGAAGAUCAGAAACGCCCUGCAAGUGAACAGCUGCCCAUUGCAGGUGUAGAGAUAAGCCGGAGAUGGCGGCUCGUUGGCGUCAGUGUUCUUGCAAUCGAGCGCUGAGUUUCCCGAGUAUUCUUGUUGAGCUCCGGUGUGUGGAGUGACAGAAAGGACGAUGAAAGCACAGAUCAGAACCCGAUUCAUCUUAGUUCUUCUUUCUUGAGGGAACAAGUUUCAUCUCCAAGUUAAGAAUGAGGAGUUUCGGAGUUUUUUAUGAUUGUUGUCAUCGUCUUAACAUAAACGCGUGAAAGAUUAUGAUAUAAUUUCCAUUUUUGACUUGUUUAACUAGCAUCUAUCCAAGAUUAUCCUGACCGCAGAAAUCCAGGAGAAAUCUACUGUUACAUAUAAUAUAGGUAGAUUUAAAAGAUGGAAUGUUUCUUCUUGACAUGAUUUCUUUAAUUUAUGGAUUUUUCGUUGUAGUUUCUCUUGGACACAUGCUAAAACCAGACAAGUUGGUCUUUUGUUAUGAAACCAGAAGUCAUUUUGUUCU
RNA transcript from Ipomoea nil (Japanese morning glory), 4517 nucleotides. It is a transcript of the gene named protein DA1-like, with no coding region annotated. The transcript is spliced from 13 exons. The record is from RefSeq and is a predicted model, not a curated record. NCBI's taxonomy places the organism in Eukaryota, Viridiplantae, Streptophyta, Magnoliopsida, Solanales, Convolvulaceae.